CUGUAUAACCCUGCUGGCCUUGGACUUUGGAUCUUCCUGUGUGGGUUUUCAGCAUGCUGAGAUUAUAGUUCGUGCCACAAAACCUCCCCUCGCUCUAUAGCUGGUGCUAGAGCUCCGAGGUCGCCAGACCAGGCACAGCACCAUCUGUCCUUGACUCCUCCAGCCCAGCUUGGCUACUACAGGAGCCCACAGAGUCUAAGAGUUUUCUCAGAAGCAGCUUUAAUGAAGUGCCAACUUGCUAGCCAGAGGAAGAGCCUCCGUGCUCAACUUGUUAAUCAAACCACCGUUUCCAGCACAAUAGCUCAGCCAGGCUCCAGCCCUCCCUCAGCACAGGACCGCCAGCGCACAGCUUUCUGAAGGAAAGCAAGAGGCCCGGGGCCACCCAGAUGUUAUCUUUUUACAGGGCUUCUUCUCUUUUGUACUUGUGAAAGACAAGGCAUGCAUCCUUAGCAUCAAAAGCAAAACAAAA
Non-coding RNA from Peromyscus maniculatus bairdii (prairie deer mouse), 469 nucleotides. Lineage: Eukaryota; Metazoa; Chordata; Mammalia; Rodentia; Cricetidae. The record is from RefSeq and is a predicted model, not a curated record.